RNAcentral lists this ribosomal RNA (301 nucleotides) under uncultured bacterium. Its description in RNAcentral is "partial 16S ribosomal RNA". It matches the Rfam family "Bacterial small subunit ribosomal RNA", at positions 509 to 807 of the family's 1533-position model. The record is from RNAcentral.
CAGUAGCCGCGGGAAUACGAAGGUCCCGAGCGUUGUUCGGAAUCACUGGGCGUAAAGGGAGCGUAGGCGGCGUGGUAAGUCAGAUGUGAAAUCCCGGGGCUCAACCCCGGAACUGCAUCCGAUACUGCCGUGCUAGAGGAUUGGAGAGGUAGCUGGAAUUCUUGGUGUAGCAGUGAAAUGCGUGGAGAUCAAGAGGAACACUCGUGGCGAAAGCGAGCUAUUGGACAAUAACUGACGCUGAGGCUCGAAGGCCAGGGUAGCGAAAGGGAUUAGAUACCCCGGUAGUCCCUGUCUCUUAUAC